UGCUACGUAAGUUUCUACGUAAGGUGCUCGGUAUUUCACUUAGGCUACGUAAGUCUCUACGUAAGGUGCUCGGUAUUAGAUCUACCAACGGGUGGUAGCCGCGUGCUCUGCACGUGCACGGCAGACAUUGUGUUGCAGUGCAGUCCGUGUUUGGAUGUGCAUGCGCGAGGAACUUUCUCCUUUGGAACUGCUUCUUGUAUGAGCUGUUUCGGAUAUUUCGUCUCCUGGCAUGGCUUAUUUCGUUUCGGCGCUGCUGAGACCUCCUUUCGCGGAAUAUUACUCAAUGACAGUGUGCGAAGAACGCGAGUUCACCUUCUUGACGAAAAUCGUGGACUAACAGUUUGAAGUCAUUGAACUACUUCCAAAAGUUGUAUCGACAUCAACAGGAUUA
Sycon ciliatum is the source of this 391-nucleotide long non-coding RNA. RefSeq lists it as uncharacterized. The record is from RefSeq and is a predicted model, not a curated record. The transcript has 3 exons. NCBI's taxonomy places the organism in Eukaryota, Metazoa, Porifera, Calcarea, Leucosolenida, Sycettidae.